This 446-nucleotide ribosomal RNA is filed under the name uncultured bacterium. RNAcentral describes it as "partial 16S ribosomal RNA". It matches the Rfam family "Bacterial small subunit ribosomal RNA", at positions 338 to 795 of the family's 1533-position model. The record is from RNAcentral.
CCUACGGGUGGCAGCAGUCGAGAAUCAUUCACAAUGGGGGAAACCCUGAUGGUGCGACGCCGCGUGGGGGAAUGAAGGUCUUCGGAUUGUAAACCCCUGUCAUGUGGGAGCAAAUUAAAAAGAUAGUACCACAAGAGGAAGAGACGGCUAACUCUGUGCCAGCAGCCGCGGUAAUACAGAGGUGUCAAGCGUUGUUCGGAAGCACUGGGCGUAAAGCGUGCGUAGGCUGUUUCGUAAGUCGUGUGUGAAAGGCGGGGGCUCAACCCGCGGACGGCAGAUGAUACUGGGAGACUAGAGUAAUGGAGGGGGAACCGGAAUUCUCGGUGUAGCAGUGAAAUGCGUAGAUAUCGAGAGGAACACUCGUGGCGAAGGCAGGUUCCUGGACAUUAACUGACGCUGAGGCACGAAGGCCAGGGGAGCGAAAGGGAUUAGAUACCCGAGUAGUC